GGAGUUAGCCGGUGCUUCUUCUGUGAGUGAUGUCCUUCCUGCCGGCUAUUAACCCGCAGGCCUUCUUCCUCACUGAAAGUGCUUUACAACCCGAAGGCCUUCUUCACACACGCGGCAUGGCUGGAUCAGGGUUGCCCCCAUUGUCCAAUAUUCCCCACUGCUGCCUCCCGUAGGAGUCUGGGCCGUGUCUCAGUCCCAGUGUGGCUGAUCAUCCUCUCAGACCAGCUACGGAUCGUCGCCUUGGUGAGCCGUUACCUCACCAACCAGCUAAUCCGACAUAGGCUCAUCCGAUAGCGCGAGGCCCGAAGGUCCCCCGNUUUCCCCCGUAGGGCGUAUGCGGUAUUAGCCUGGGUUUCCCCAGGUUAUCCCCCACUACCGGGCAGAUUCCUAUGCAUUACUCACCCGUCCGCCGCUCGCCACCAGGGAGCAAGCUCCCCGUGCUGCCGCUCGACUUGCAUGUGUUAGGCCUGCCGCCACGCGUCAUCUGAGCCAGAAUACAACUACUGA
This 507-nucleotide ribosomal RNA is filed under the name uncultured bacterium. RNAcentral describes it as "partial 16S ribosomal RNA". The record is from RNAcentral.